Molecule: ribosomal RNA, 468 nt
Filed under: uncultured bacterium
Lineage: Bacteria
Description: partial 16S ribosomal RNA
Rfam family: Bacterial small subunit ribosomal RNA
Source: RNAcentral
GACGAACGCUGGCGGCGUGCUUAACACAUGCAAGUCGAACGGAAAGGCCCUGCUUUUGUGGGGUGCUCGAGUGGCGAACGGGUGAGUAACACGUGAGUAACCUGCCCUUGACUUUGGGAUAACUUCAGGAAACUGGGGCUAAUACCGGAUAGGAGCCCCUGCUGCAUGGUGGGGGUUGGAAAGUUUCGGCGGUUGGGGAUGGACUCGCGGCUUAUCAGCUUGUUGGUGGGGUAGUGGCUUACCAAGGCUUUGACGGGUAGCCGGCCUGAGAGGGUGACCGGCCACAUUGGUACUGAGAUACGGCCCAGACUCCUACGGGAGGCAGCAGUGGGGAGUAUUGCACAAUGGGCGGAAGCCUGAUGCAGCAACGCCGCGUUCGGGAUGACGGCCUUCUGGUUGUAAACCGCUUUCGCCUGUGACGAAGCGUGAGUGACGGUAAUGAGUAAAGAAGCACCGGCUAACUACGUG